GCCAAGUUUCAAUCAGUAGGUCGGGGAAUGAUACUAAUGUGAAGAAAAUUAUCUGGAUAGCUCAUAUGUUCGCUUAGCCACUGUAGUGGUGUUUCCAGCAUUGGCUCAAUUCCAUGAAUCAUCACUUGAGUCGUCUUCUCUCCAUCUUCAGGGGUGAUAGCACUAGGACAUACAUCUUUUAGAAGAUCUCCCAAAGUGUGCAAUUGUCCUCCAGAAGCAAUUGGUCGAAACAGCUUUUGUAUAAAAGGUCUCUCUGUUGUUGCCUGAUAAAUUCUAAAUGGGAUGUACCGAAAUCCACUAUCUUCUGGAGGAUACUCCAUGAGUUUUCGAUUUAUAGCCCAAAAUUGCUCAAAUUUAUCAUUCUGUAACCCCAUCC
RNAcentral lists this long non-coding RNA (376 nucleotides) under Gallus gallus (chicken). The record is from RNAcentral. Lineage: Eukaryota; Metazoa; Chordata; Aves; Galliformes; Phasianidae.